This 211-nucleotide small RNA is filed under the name Rhizobium sp. TAL182. RNAcentral's name for it is "miscellaneous other RNA". Lineage: Bacteria; Pseudomonadati; Pseudomonadota; Alphaproteobacteria; Hyphomicrobiales; Rhizobiaceae. The record is from RNAcentral.
CGAAUCGUCCUACCUUUUCCCUAUCAGCAACAGAACGAAAGGAAGGUGAUCCAAUGUCUAAUGAGAUUUCGGACCUCGUAUCGGGCAUGGAAGUGGUGAUGAAAGCGAGGCAGCCCUCGCUCUAAAACCCGCCUUCCUGGGGCUGCUUUGACAGUCCAGGCCAGUUCGAGUGCCAAACUCAUGGAAAGGGUCGCCGAGGCGGCCCUUUUUU